This 459-nucleotide ribosomal RNA is filed under the name uncultured bacterium. Its description in RNAcentral is "partial 16S ribosomal RNA". It matches the Rfam family "Bacterial small subunit ribosomal RNA", at positions 338 to 795 of the family's 1533-position model. The record is from RNAcentral.
CCUACGGGAGGCAGCAGUGAGGAAUAUUGGUCAAUGGGCGCGAGCCUGAACCAGCCAAGUCGCGUGAGGGAAGACGGUCCUAUGGAUUGUAAACCUCUUUUGUCGGGGAGCAAAAGACGCCACGUGUGGCGUUCCGAGUGUACCCGAAGAAAAAGCAUCGGCUAACUCCGUGCCAGCCGCCGCGGUACUACGGAGGAUGCGAGCGUUAUCCGGAUUUAUUGGGUUAAAAGGGUGGGCAGGCGGAAGAUCAAGUCGGCGGUAAAAUUGAGAGGCUCAACCUCUUAGAGCCGUUGAAACUGGUUAUCUUGAGUGAGCGAGAAGUAUGCAGAAUGCGUGGUGUAGCGGUGAAAUGCAUAGAUAUCACGAAGAACUCCGAUUGCGAAGGCAGCAUACCGGCGCUCAACUGACGCUCAUGCACGAAAGUGUGGGUAUCGAACAGGAUUAGAUACCCUUGUAGUC